CUUACCGACCCACCAGCAGUCGAACGAACCAGUAAACCUUCACAAGAUUCGAACCAAUGUAACCUUGAAGAUUUGAAAGAUUGUGCUAGGUACCACUGUAUUCAGACGACGGUGGUACCAGUACACGGAGUGGCUUGUUCCCUUCGCAGUGUGCUUAAUAAGUGUGCCUGGAUAAUUGAGACUGACGGCGAAUAAAGAUUCGCAUUUGAAAGUGGAGGUCGAUGGAGCGAGGAGCUUAAUACCUGCCUUGAUUGUAUCGCUUAAAUAACCAGACUGUCUGGUGGAGGAAAAGGAAGGUGGUGCAUGAUUCUGUACAGAAGCUUUUAUCGAAGUAGUGAGGUGCAACUUCUAAGUGGCGACACUAGUCUAGUAAGGUUUGCAACUCUACCCGUAAAUAAGGAAGUUAUCAGUGUAGGUGUUAGUGUGAAAGAUAACUCUGCAACACGUGAAGAAAGGUACUUCGUUUUUUGAACACUCAAAUCCACUCUAGAACAAAAUUGCUGUACGUUUCUUAAAUCCAUUAAUCUUUUGUUUCCCUGUACAUUAGUUUGUGAAAGCAAAUUAUCUGUGUAUUAUACAUUGACUGGAAUACGCUUAAGUCUUUCUUCUGAAUUGUAUUAGUGAUUCUUUACGAUCACUCGUUUCUGUAUUAAAACUAUCUAAUGGCCUCAAACGAAGGCGUCCAAGGUGAAAUUACAAGAUGUCCUGACUGUGACGACGAAAGGAGAAGGCCUUUUAAAUGUUCAGUGUGUGAUAAAAGAUACCGGAAAAGACAUCAACUUAAGUAUCACGAGUUUAAACACACGGGAAUUUUACCUUUUACAUGCGCAGGCUGUUCGAAAAAGUUCAGAACUUUCCAACAAUUUACAGAACACGUUUUGCACAGUAAAGAUGACAGUGACGAAGAAAAUUCUGAAGUGUCGGUCAUAGUAUUGAGAUUUUAAAAGUUCCUUUGUUCAUUAAUUUAUGCUUAAAGGUCUUACGCAGACUACUGCCUUUUUAAUAUAAAAUUAUUGUAGAACUAGCGAUAAUAAUUUCCUCAUUUUACUAUGAAACUAAAAGUAAAUUCAGUAGACUGGGGCAGUAGCCUGCAUGAAGACGAUAUACCUUUAAAAUUUGAAGUGUAUCAAGUGACGACUGGACAGUCACUUAGCCUGAGCCUUCAAUGGGUUUAAAAACUUGAUUAUGGAAAAAAAUGUUGCCCCACAAGCCUGGCUGGACUUCGUAAUAUGCUACGUAAGUGGCGAGAACGCCAUGACUGACCACUCACGUCUAAAAAAAAAAUGUCCAAGGAAAAACUUCUCGCGUUUUAUGAGUUUUAAGACAAAACUUUGCGAGUUAGUCCGCAUAAGAGGAAGUCUCCAGCUAUGACUAGCGUUGCACCUGGACCAUUCCUUUAUCAUUUCACAAAGCAUAAUUUUUUUUUUUUUUUUUUGCGGCCAAGUUAGACCCAUUUAAACCUUGGGUAGAAUAGUUUGCUACCUCCCUCAGCCACAACCAAGAUGAUUAUCAAAAAGAAGCGCUAAACCACAAGGGUGUAGCAAAGUAGAGCGUCCCUCCCCUCCUGUGAGUGAAGGCCGGUCUAGACUAACAUAGCAACACAGUUCAUUUGUGCUGAUUGUGUAAUUACCCCUGGCUACCUGCCCGGGUUAUCCAAAAUUUAGGACUAGUCAACCCGUUUUGUAGGUUAAUGCAGUGUGACUGGAAAUUCUGUAUUUGUACUAAAUUUCCAAGACGUGGUCCACAAACUACAUUAAAAAUAUAGGUUUCUGGAUCCUGAUUCAUAGUGGUAUAUAUGUAAGUAGUUUAUCCACUUAAUAUUAAUUCUGACUAUGGAAGAGAUCUGUCUUGAAGUUGGUUUCUAGUUCUAUGUUUAUACCACUUGUUUUAAAGCUUAAUUUGUAUUGUAAUGUCAGUUACAUGCAUGGUAAUAUCAGAAACUGUUCAUUUAAAUUGCUGUUGAAGAGCUCCUGAUGCAAUGAAUUGGAUCUGUCCUUCCCUUGUAUCGAACCUGAUUGUUUUCCUCCCCCUUCCCCUAAAAUGUUCAACCCUUGCAUGUUAGCACUAAAAGGCAAAAUUGUAA
Molecule: long non-coding RNA, 2083 nt
Organism: Cherax quadricarinatus
Lineage: Eukaryota; Metazoa; Arthropoda; Malacostraca; Decapoda; Parastacidae
Source: RefSeq, a predicted model, not a curated record